RNAcentral lists this small RNA (499 nucleotides) under uncultured Glomeromycotina. Its description in RNAcentral is "SSU rRNA". It matches the Rfam family "Eukaryotic small subunit ribosomal RNA", at positions 591 to 1092 of the family's 1831-position model. Lineage: Eukaryota; Fungi; Glomeromycota. The record is from RNAcentral.
CCAAUAGCGUAUAUUAAAGUUGCUGCAGUUAAAAAGCUCGUAGUUGAAUUUCGGGACUAAUAUGUCGGUCGUGCCUCGGUACGUACUGGCAUCGUUGGUUUCUCCUUUCUGAAGAACCAUGAUGUCAUUUAUUUGGUGUCGUGGGGAAUCAGGACUGUUACUUUGAAAAAAUUAGAGUGUUUAAAGCAGGCUCACGCUUGAAUACAUUAGCAUGGAAUAAUGAAAUAGGACGUUUGAUUCUAUUUUGUUGGUUUCUAGGAUCGACGUAAUGAUUAAUAGGGAUAGUUGGGGGCAUUAGUAUUCAAUUGUCAGAGGUGAAAUUCUUGGAUUUAUUGAAGACUAACUACUGCGAAAGCAUUUGCCAAGGAUGUUUUCAUUAAUCAAGAACGAAAGUUAGGGGAUCGAAGACGAUCAGAUACCGUCGUAGUCUUAACCAUAAACUAUGCCGACUAGGGAUCGGAUGAUGUUAAUUUUUUAAUGACUCAUUCGGCGCCUUACG